UAUCCGUGAUGGUUUCGUGCUGCUCAAC
RNAcentral lists this non-coding RNA (28 nucleotides) under Mus musculus (house mouse). Lineage: Eukaryota; Metazoa; Chordata; Mammalia; Rodentia; Muridae. The record is from RNAcentral.